RNAcentral lists this ribosomal RNA (1410 nucleotides) under hydrothermal vent metagenome. Its description in RNAcentral is "bacterial SSU rRNA". It matches the Rfam family "Bacterial small subunit ribosomal RNA". The record is from RNAcentral.
AGAGUUUGAUCCUGGCUCAGGAUGAACGCUAGCGGCAGGCCUAAUACAUGCAAGUCGAACGGUAACAUUGGUGCUUGCACCAGAUGACGAGUGGCGCACGGGUGCGUAACGCGUAUGCAACCUACCUUUUACUAGAGUAUAGCCCAGAGAAAUUUGGAUUAAUCCUCUAUAACAUCUUUAAGUUUCAUAAUUUUUAGAUUAAAGUUUUAAUGGUAAAAGAUGGGCAUGCGUCCUAUUAGUUUGUAGGUGAGGUAACGGCUCACCUAGACUACGAUAGGUAGGGGCCCUGAGAGGGGGAUCCCCCACACUGGUACUGAGACACGGACCAGACUCCUACGGGAGGCAGCAGUAAGGAAUAUUGGACAAUGGACGAAAGUCUGAUCCAGCCAUGCCGCGUGCAGGAUGAAAGCCCUAUGGGUUGUAAACUGCUUUUAUACAGGAAGAAGUAAGAAUAAGGAUCGGCUAACUCCGUGCCAGCAGCCGCGGUAAUACGGAGGAUCCAAGCGUUAUCCGGAAUCAUUGGGUUUAAAGGGUCCGCAGGCGGUCUUUUAAGUCAGAGGUGAAAGCCUACAGCUCAACUGUAGAACGGCCUUUGAUACUGAAAGACUUGAGUUAUUGUGAAGUGAUUAGAAUGUGUGGUGUAGCGGUGAAAUGCAUAGAUAUCACACAGAAUACCGAUUGCGAAGGCAGAUCACUAACAAUAUACUGACGCUCAUGGACGAAAGCGUGGGGAGCGAACAGGAUUAGAUACCCUGGUAGUCCACGCCGUAAACGAUGGAUACUAGCUGUUCGUCUAACAUUGGUUAGAUGAGUGGCUAAGCGAAAGUGAUAAGUAUCCCACCUGGGGAGUACGGUCGCAAGACUGAAACUCAAAGGAAUUGACGGGGGCCCGCACAAGCGGUGGAGCAUGUGGUUUAAUUCGAUGAUACGCGAGGAACCUUACCAGGGCUUAAANNNNNNNNUACAAGGUGCUGCAUGGUUGUCGUCAGCUCGUGCCGUGAGGUGUCAGGUUAAGUCCUAUAACGAGCGCAACCCCUAUCGUUAGUUGCCAGCGAGUAAUGUCGGGAACUCUAACGAAACUGCCAGUGCAAACUGUGAGGAAGGUGGGGAUGACGUCAAAUCAUCACGGCCCUUACGUCCUGGGCUACACACGUGCUACAAUGGCCGGUACAGAGAGCAGCCACUUCGCAAGAAGGAGCGAAUCUAUUAAAACCGGUCUGAAGCUGGAAUCGCUAGUAAUCGGAUAUCAGCAAUGAUCCGGUGAAUACGUUCCCGGGCCUUGUACACACCGCCCGUCAAGCCAUGGAAGCUGGGAGUGCCUGAAGUCGGUAACCGCAAGGAGCCGCCUAAGGUAAAACUGGUAACUGGGGCUAAGUCGUAACAAGGUAGCCGUACCGGAAGGUGCGGCUG